This 253-nucleotide ribosomal RNA is filed under the name uncultured bacterium. RNAcentral's name for it is "partial 16S ribosomal RNA". It matches the Rfam family "Bacterial small subunit ribosomal RNA", at positions 524 to 776 of the family's 1533-position model. The record is from RNAcentral.
UACGUAGGUGACCAGCGUUGUCCGGAUUUACUGGGCGUAAAGAGCGCGCAGGCGGUCGUUCAAGUCGAGUGUGAAAGCCCCCGGCUCAACUGGGGAGGGUCACUUGAUACUGAUCGACUCGAAGGCAGAAGAGGAAAGCGGAAUUCCACGUGUAGCGGUGAAAUGCGUAGAGAUGUGGAGGAACACCAGUGGCGAAGGCGGCUUUCUGGUCUGUAACUGACGCUGAGGCGCGAAAGCGUGGGGAGCGAACAGG